CCUACGGGUGGCAGCAGUGAGGAAUAUUGGUCAAUGGGCGCGAGCCUGAACCAGCCAAGUAGCGUGAAGGAUGACUGCCCUACGGGUUGUAAACUUCUUUUAUAAAGGAAUAAAGUUAGGCACGUGUGCCUGUUUGUAUGUACUUUAUGAAUAAGGAUCGGCUACCUCCGUGCCAGCAGCCGCGGUAAUACGGAGGAUCCGAGCGUUCUCCGGAUUUAUUGGUGUUAAAGGGAGCGUAGACGGGUUGUUAAGUCAGUUGGGAACGUUUGCGGCUCAACCGUAAAAUUGCAAUUGAUACUGGCAGUCUUGAGUACAGAUGCGGUAGGCGGAAUUCGUGGUGUAGCGGUGAAAUGCUUAGAUAUCACGAAGAACUCCGAUUGCGAAGGCAGCCUACUAAACUGCCACUGACAUUGAUGCUCGAAAGUGUGGGUAUCAAACAGGAUUAGAUACCCCUGUAGUC
RNAcentral lists this ribosomal RNA (460 nucleotides) under uncultured bacterium. Its description in RNAcentral is "partial 16S ribosomal RNA". It matches the Rfam family "Bacterial small subunit ribosomal RNA", at positions 338 to 795 of the family's 1533-position model. The record is from RNAcentral.